GACGGAGAAGGCUAGGCAAGCUUGGCGUUGGUUGUCCAAGUGAAAGUGAGUAGGCUGAAGACUUAGGUAAAUCCGGGUUUUCAAGGCCGAGACACGAGACGAGCUCCCAAGGGAGUGAAGUUGUUGAUGCCCUGCUUCCAGGAAAAGCUUCUAAACUUAUGAUUAUAUGAACCGUACCCCAAACCGACACAGGUGGUCAGGUAGAGAAUACUAAGGCGCUUGAGAGAACUCGGGAGAAGGAACUCGGCAAAUUGGUACCGUAACUUCGGGAUAAGGUACGCCCUGGU
Molecule: ribosomal RNA, 287 nt
Filed under: Emiliania huxleyi
Lineage: Eukaryota; Haptophyta; Isochrysidales; Noelaerhabdaceae
Description: partial Bacterial large subunit ribosomal RNA
Rfam family: Bacterial large subunit ribosomal RNA
Source: RNAcentral